UGGGCUUGACAUGUUCCCGACGACCUCAGAGAUGGGGUUUCCCUUCGGGGCGGGUUCACAGGUGGUGCAUGGUCGUCGUCAGCUCGUGUCGUGAGAUGUUGGGUUAAGUCCCGCAACGAGCGCAACCCUCGCCCCGUGUUGCCAGCGCGUCAUGGCGGGAACUCACGGGGGACCGCCGGGGUUAACCCGGAGGAAGGCGGGGAUGACGUCAGAUCAUCAUGCCCCUUACGUCCAGGGCUUCACGCAUGCUACAAUGUCCGGUACAACGGGAUGCGACAUGGCGACAUGGAGCGGAUCCCUGAAAACCGGUCUCAGUUCGGAUCGCAGUCUGCAACUCGACUGCGUGAAGGCGGAGUCGCUAGUAAUCGCGAAUCAGACAUGUCGCGGUGAAUACGUUCCCGGGUC
Molecule: ribosomal RNA, 405 nt
Filed under: uncultured bacterium
Lineage: Bacteria
Description: bacterial SSU rRNA
Rfam family: Bacterial small subunit ribosomal RNA
Source: RNAcentral